AUGGCGUCCAACGCCGCACCCGACGACAACGAGGUGGCGCACGACUACGGCCUCGUCCGCGUCUACAAGAGCGGCCGCGUCGAGCGGCCCCUGGUGGCUCCGCCCGCGGCGGCCGGCCUCGACCCCGUCACCGGCGUCGAGUCCAAGGACGUCCAGCUCGGCGACUACUCCGCCCGCCUCUACCUGCCCCCGGCCGCGGCCAUGGCCGCAGUCAAGCUCCCUGUCAUCGUCUACGUCCACGGGGGCGGUUUCGUGGCCGAGUCCGUCGCGUCGCCCAACGGCCACCGCUUCCUCAACAGCCUCACCGCCGCCUGCCCCGCCCGCGCUGUCUCCGUCGAGUACCGCCUCGCCCCGGAGCACCCGCUCCCUGCGGCGUACGAGGACUGCGUCGCCCGCCCUCGGGUGGGUGCUCUCGGCCGCCGACCCGUGGGUCGCCGAGCACGGCGACCUGAGCCGCGUCUUCGUGGCCGGGGACAGCGCCGGGGCCAACGCCUGCCACCACCUCCUCAUCCAGCCGGACGCCGCGCGCCUCAAGGGCGCGGUGCUGAUCCACCCCUGGUUCUGGUGCUCCGAGGCCGUCGGCGAGGAGACGCGCAACCCCGCGUGGCGCGCCAUGGGCGGGCGGCUGUGGGAGUUCGCGUGCCCCGGCUCGACUGGCAUCGACGACGCGCGGAUGAACCCGAUGGCGCCCGGCGCGCCGGGGCUGGAAACGCUCGCGUGCGAGAGGGUCAUGGUGUGCGUGGCGGAGGGCGACUUCCUCAGGUGGCGCGGCCGCGCGUACGCGGAGGCCGUGGCCGCGGCGAGGGGCGGCCAGGGGCACGGGGUCGAGCUGCUGGAGACGAUGGGGGAGGGGCACGUCUUCCACCUCUUCAAGCCCGACUGCGACAAAGCCAAGGAGAUGUUCCACAGGAUCGUCGCCUUCGUUAA
RNAcentral lists this ribosomal RNA (927 nucleotides) under Triticum aestivum (bread wheat). RNAcentral describes it as "partial small subunit ribosomal RNA". The record is from RNAcentral. Lineage: Eukaryota; Viridiplantae; Streptophyta; Magnoliopsida; Poales; Poaceae.